UACAGGCAUUGCCCUAGUACGGCGAGUGAAGCGGCAACAGCUCAAAUUUGAAAUCUGGCCUCCUUUGGGGGUCCGAGUUGUAAUUUGCAGAGGGUGCUUUGGCAUUGGCGGCGGUCUAAGUUCCUUGGAACAGGACAUCGCAGAGGGUGAGAAUCCCGUACGUGGGCGCCUGCCUUUGCCGUGUAAAGCCCCUUCGACGAGUCGAGUUGUUUGGGAAUGCAGCUCUAAAUGGGAGGUAAAUUUCUUCUAAAGCUAAAUACCGGCCAGAGACCGAUAGCGCACAAGUAGAGUGAUCGAAAGAUGAAAAGUACUUUGGAAAGAGAGUCAAAUAGCACGUGAAAUUGUUGAAAGGGAAGCGCUUGCAGCCAGACUUGCCCGCAGUUGCUCACCUAGGUUUUUGCCUGGGGCACUCUUCUGCGGGCAGGCCAGCAUCAGUUUGGGCGGUUGGAUAAAGGCCUCUGUCACGUAUCUCCCUUCGGGGUGACCUUAUAGGGGAGGCGCAAUGCAACCAGCCCGGACUGAGGUCCGCGCAUCUGCUAGGAUGCUGGCGUAAUGGCUGUAAGCGGCCCGUCUUGAAACACGGACCAAGGAGUCUAACAUCUAUGCGAGUGUUUGGGUGUCAAGCCCGGGCGCGCAAUGAAAGUGAACGGAGGUGGGAACCGCAAGGUGCACCAUCGACCGAUCCUGAAGUCUUCGGAUGGAUUUGAGUAAGAGCAUAGCUGUUGGGACCCGAAAGAUGGUGAACUAUGCUUGAAUAGGGUGAAGCCAGAGGAAACUCUGGUGGAGGCUCGCAGCGGUUCUGACGUGCAAAUCGAUCGUCAAAUUUGGGCAUAGGGGCGAAAGACUAAUCGAAC
Molecule: ribosomal RNA, 854 nt
Filed under: Letendraea padouk
Lineage: Eukaryota; Fungi; Ascomycota; Dothideomycetes; Pleosporales; Didymosphaeriaceae
Description: LSU rRNA
Rfam family: Eukaryotic large subunit ribosomal RNA
Source: RNAcentral